CCUACGGGAGGCUGCAGUGGGGAAUAUUGCACAAUGGGCGCAAGCCUGAUGCAGCCAUGCCGCGUGUGUGAAGAAGGCCUUCGGGUUGUAAAGCACUUUCAGCGGGGAGGAAGGCGGUGAGGUUAAUAACCUCGGCGAUUGACGUUACCCGCAGAAGAAGCACCGGCUAACUCCGUGCCAGCAGCCGCGGUAAUACGGAGGGUGCAAGCGUUAAUCGGAAUUACUGGGCGUAAAGCGCACGCAGGCGGUCUGUCAAGUCGGAUGUGAAAUCCCCGGGCUCAACCUGGGAACUGCAUUCGAAACUGGCAGGCUAGAGUCUUGUAGAGGGGGGUAGAAUUCCAGGUGUAGCGGUGAAAUGCGUAGAGAUCUGGAGGAAUACCGGUGGCGAAGGCGGCCCCCUGGACAAAGACUGACGCUCAGGUGCGAAAGCGUGGGGAGCAAACAGGAUUAGAUACCCGUGUAGUC
RNAcentral lists this ribosomal RNA (465 nucleotides) under uncultured Klebsiella sp. Its description in RNAcentral is "bacterial SSU rRNA". It matches the Rfam family "Bacterial small subunit ribosomal RNA", at positions 338 to 795 of the family's 1533-position model. Lineage: Bacteria; Pseudomonadati; Pseudomonadota; Gammaproteobacteria; Enterobacterales; Enterobacteriaceae. The record is from RNAcentral.